This is a long non-coding RNA of Osmia bicornis bicornis, 1538 nucleotides long. RefSeq lists it as uncharacterized. The transcript is spliced from 3 exons. Lineage: Eukaryota; Metazoa; Arthropoda; Insecta; Hymenoptera; Megachilidae. The record is from RefSeq and is a predicted model, not a curated record.
AGGUGUUUACAAAUUCGUAUUUCAAUACGACUAACAAUAAGUUUACGGUGCUCUUCUGUUUGGAAUUAGGAAACAGAUUCGAGGAGAAAACAGGCGAGGAACGUUGUGUAUUCAACAGAUUCAACGUGAUCAUCUUUCGGGUCUCGAAGGACGGAAACGAGGAAGUGGGAAGAAACCUUGUAGCCAGAGAAUGUUGGGAGUCGAAGAAAUGGAAGGAGAUACAAGGGUUAACUGGCAGCGACAGGUGAAGCAGAAGAUCCAACGCUGUCAGAAAAGAAUUAAUAGGAACGGUCAGGAAUAACACAAUCGCACGUCGAGUAAUGUCCAGGAGUAUCAGGUCGUUGGUGGGGCAUAACAAGGUUGGUCCGAGUUCUUCCUCGUCGGGAUCAUUCUAGUAGGCGGUACCAACUUAGCCAGGCCUACCUUUCUUCUGACUCGAGUCUGACAAUGGAUCAGCAACAAUACAAGCAUCACAUGACCGUUUGAACCUUGUCUUCCUCCGACAUACACCGAAUUAUGAUACAUGCUGAGUCUGAAUGAAAAAUAAAGCCAAUUCCGAACAGACCAGGAUGAUAUGCUACUGGUAUUGAGCUGCUAAUCCUUAUACGACAGAUGAAGGGUCAUUUUGAUGCAGUACGUAUUAUAUAUUCCCAUGUGUAAGGAAAAGUUAAGGCCGAACUGAAGAGGCAAACUUUACAUGAAGCCAAGUAGAUUUUGUGAGUAUUCUGAUUACCGAUACAUCUAUUUAUCAAAAAUUCCAAAUACAUCAUCGAGAAAAAUGAAAGAUUUCUUCGUAGAGGAUGUCGAAUCGUCCAGGAACGUGGCAGAAUUGUUUGAGUAAUAAAAAAUCGUAUAUACAUCUGGUGAGUUAUUUGUCUGUAACGAAUAGCUGGCAUUAGUUAACAGGAUAUCAAAAGGAUACCUCGAGCCAGGCCACCAAGGCACCAGGAGACCCCACCCAGUUGAUGCCCGGUGUAACAUCAGGAACGAAACCCUCUACCGAACACAAUGCCUCGAACCUGAGACUCUAUCGCGAUAUUAUCCGGUUAUAAAUUGGAACACAGCAUCGUCCUGGCAUUAUGAUGUCUCUAAUAUGUCUUUUUCUUCGCUGGCCACUGACCACAACCGAUCUGUGUGCCGAUCACCGGCUUCCAUUUCGAUUCCCACAGCAUUUAGAUAUCUGGCAAAUCGUUUCAAUUUUCAUCAGUAAUUCUACCCACCCCUUUUACGAUCCUUUAAGCUGAUUAUUUUCUUAAACAAUCUUUAAUCCUUAGAUCAGUGAGUUUAACUGAGGUAAAAAUUAUUUCAUGUCCGAGCUGAUGUUCGAACGGUUUUUAACAAAGGUAAAGUAUAUUUACUGGGUAUAUACCAUAUAGGUAUAUGGUAGAAAAGUGGCGUGGAAGUUGCAAGAUCCUCGACCUCUUCCGUCGACCAGGAAUUAUUCAAAAUCCUUGCUCGUACGACUGCUCGAGAUAAAUAACGUUCACCUUCUGCCUUCCUCCUCUUUUUCCCUUAUUCACCAAGCCUCCAUCGGAUGU